UCAAACAUAUAGAAAACAGAAAAGAGAGAACCAAAAAGAGAGAGAGAGAGAGAACUUCAUUGUUUAUACAUACAAUGUAGUUAAUCUGCUAGUGCAAAACUGUGAGAAGGAAGAAAGAAAGAAAAAGAAGAAGAUUUAAAGGAGAAAUCAAAUCAAAUCAAAUUGUUGAAAUUAAAAUUUGAGGAGCAUAAGGACAAAUCCACCGGCAGAACACUGUGAGUAAUAUCUUAGUAAAGAUAUGUUCAAGUGAGCAAAGGGAUGUCCAAACCCAACCCCAGUGAAAGAUAUGAGAGGAAGUCAAGUUUUGUGGAGUCAGCCCGCACGUCUCACGCACGAGACUUUAUUUUUGUUCAUGUGUUUACACUUUUGCUUUAUCAGUGAAUACGUUGGAUCAUCCAUGCAUAUAAGUUUGUUUUGUUUGGCU
Molecule: non-coding RNA, 424 nt
Organism: Camellia sinensis
Lineage: Eukaryota; Viridiplantae; Streptophyta; Magnoliopsida; Ericales; Theaceae
Source: RefSeq, a predicted model, not a curated record